This is a non-coding RNA of Arachis ipaensis, 175 nucleotides long. The record is from RefSeq and is a predicted model, not a curated record. Lineage: Eukaryota; Viridiplantae; Streptophyta; Magnoliopsida; Fabales; Fabaceae.
CUAUGUUGGCGAAAGCUAGUGCACUCUAGGUAAAGUAGGGAGUGCAGCACUCUUUAAAAGUUAACCUGCUAUCAAAAGUAAUUAGGUGCUUCCACUAUUGUUCUGUCUAGCCACAGAUUUUGACGCUCUUGAACCCACCCCAUUCCACAUCUACCAUAAAUGGACCUUCAAAGCC